CAGUCGCCGCGGUAAUACAGAGGGUGCAAGCGUUAAUCGGAAUUACUGGGCGUAAAGCGCGCGUAGGUGGUUUGUUAAGUUGGAUGUGAAAUCCCCGGGCUCAACCUGGGAACUGCAUCCAAAACUGGCAAGCUAGAGUAUGGUAGAGGGUGGUGGAAUUUCCUGUGUAGCGGUGAAAUGCGUAGAGAUCUGGAGGAAUACCGGUGGCGAAGGCGGCCCCCUGGACAAAGACUGACGCUCAGGUGCGAAAGCGUGGGGAGCAAACAGGAUUAGAUACCCCUGUAGUCCCUGUCUCUUAUAC
RNAcentral lists this ribosomal RNA (301 nucleotides) under uncultured bacterium. RNAcentral's name for it is "partial 16S ribosomal RNA". It matches the Rfam family "Bacterial small subunit ribosomal RNA", at positions 509 to 807 of the family's 1533-position model. The record is from RNAcentral.